CAAAUGACUCUCAGCAACGGAUAUCUUGGCUCUUGCAACGAUGAAGAACGCAGCGAAAUGCGAUACCUAGUGUGAAUUGCAGAAUUCCGCGAAUCAUCGAGUUUUUGAACGCAAGUUGCGCCCGAGGCUUGUCCCAAGGGCAUGUCUGUCUGAGCGUCCAC
This 161-nucleotide ribosomal RNA is filed under the name Blepharolejeunea incongrua. RNAcentral's name for it is "5.8S ribosomal RNA". It matches the Rfam family "5.8S ribosomal RNA". From Rfam's summary of the family: 5.8S ribosomal RNA (5.8S rRNA) is a component of the large subunit of the eukaryotic ribosome. It is transcribed by RNA polymerase I as part of the 45S precursor that also contains 18S and 28S rRNA. Lineage: Eukaryota; Viridiplantae; Streptophyta; Jungermanniopsida; Porellales; Lejeuneaceae. The record is from RNAcentral.